UACAGAGGGGGCAAGCGUUGUUCGGAAUUACUGGGCGUAAAGGGCGCGUAGGCGGCCUUCUAAGUCGAACGUGAAAUCCCCGGGCUCAACCCGGGAACUGCGUCCGAUACUGGAAGGCUUGAAUCCGGGAGAGGGAUGCGGGAUUCCAGGUGUAGCGGUGAAAUGCGUAGAUAUCUGGAGGAACACCGGUGGCGAAGGCGGCAUCCUGGACCGGUAUUGACGCUGAGGCGCGAAAGCCAGGGGAGCAAACGGG
This 253-nucleotide ribosomal RNA is filed under the name uncultured bacterium. RNAcentral describes it as "partial 16S ribosomal RNA". It matches the Rfam family "Bacterial small subunit ribosomal RNA", at positions 524 to 776 of the family's 1533-position model. The record is from RNAcentral.